Molecule: ribosomal RNA, 290 nt
Filed under: uncultured bacterium
Lineage: Bacteria
Description: partial 16S ribosomal RNA
Rfam family: Bacterial small subunit ribosomal RNA
Source: RNAcentral
GAGUUUGAUCAUGGCUCAGGAUGAACGCUAGCGGCAGGCUUAACACAUGCAAGUCGAGGGGUAACAGGUUAGUAGCAAUACUGAUGCUGACGACCGGCGCACGGGUGCGUAACGCGUAUGCAACCUACCUUAUACAGGGGGAUAACCUUUCGAAAGGGAGACUAACACCGCAUAACAUUAUUUCAGGCAUCUGGGAAUAAUUAAUGAGCGAUCAGGUAUAAGAUGGGCAUGCGUAGCAUUAGUUAGAUGGCGAGUAACGCUCACCAUGGCGAUGAUGCUUAGGGGUUCUG